Molecule: long non-coding RNA, 5194 nt
Organism: Triticum aestivum (bread wheat)
Lineage: Eukaryota; Viridiplantae; Streptophyta; Magnoliopsida; Poales; Poaceae
Exons: 6
Source: RefSeq, a predicted model, not a curated record
GUGGCAUAAACAAAGUAUUCCCAUCGCCGCCACGUCACUUCGCCUGGCUCCCCACUCCCCAGCAGCUCGAGUGCCCCCAUCCCCCAUCGCCGGCGGACGGCGCCGACAGGAUAACGCGCUCACAGCUAGGCGCCGGCGCCAGCACCGGCACUGCAUACAAGUUCUGAGCGCUCUUGACCGGCCGCCGGCCUCCAUUGCUCCGGCUAGGUCGCAGGUAUAGCUCCAAGAAUAGGUGUUUUGUGGUGUCUGUUGAUGGCCAAUAGCGAGUAUGAGUAUGCAAAGAGCGAGUUCGAGUUCGACCGCCGCCUCCCAGCCUCCAACUGGAUGGUCAUCCACAUCGAUGGCUGCCAUUCCACCGUUUUGUUUUCAGAGAGGAAACAAAAUUCUUCAAAGACGAGAAAGAUAAAGAGUUGAGGGAGCCUCCCUAUUCUGAUGGGCGAGCUGUGUGCUAUCUAAAUAUAACCUCCGCCCCAAAUUACCUGUCUUAGAUUUAUCUAGAUACGGAUGUAUCUAACACUAUCAUAUCAAGACAAAUCUAAGACAAGUAAUUCGGGACGGGGGGAGUAUGAAGACCAUUUUUUAUUAUUUGGCCUGGAGGCAAGUGGACUGUAAGCAUCUCGAACUACAGUCAACAUUUUCCUAGUAUAAAUAACAAGAUUAUUGUAUUGUGCAAUAAUAUCAUGGCAUGUAUGUUACUCCCUCCGUCUGGAAAUACUUGUCAGAGAAAUGGAUAAAAAGGGAUGUAUGUCUAGAUACAUCCAUUUCUCCGACAAGUAUUUCCGGAUGGAGGGAGUAUUCGCCAAAAAUUGUAGAAACUCCAGCAACAUUGAAUAAACAUAAAUAUGGUGUAUGUAUGCGCCAUUCAAUAAGAUUUUUAUUUCUGGUUGCUCAGUUAGUUAGUUAGUUUCUUUAGUUUAUUGGGUACGGUUUAAACAUAUUUAAUUUUGGGUGUGCUUUCAGGUCGUAGAAAUAAUCAUUAUAAUACUAGAUGGUUCUGGAUGCUAGUGAAUUCUGGAAAAACUGAAAAGGAGGCCUAAUUACCUUAUCUUGUGUGUGAACCAUCUUGUUCUAGGGAAUAUUUGCGAAGGACAAGAACGUGUUGCUUUUGCAGCAGUUCCAGAUCAUCUAUUAUGAUGAACCAACUAUGUUCCGAAAAGGAUCCAGCAUUUACCGAGAUAAGGGGCUUCAAGAUCAACACAUAAUGAUGAACAGAUUUAUGGUAGUAACCAGUUUAGCCCAAGAAACCUUCAAGUUCAGUAGCCGAAGUUGUUAAGGGCCACUGUUCCAUUGCCAAUGUUUUCUUGAUCAGUUGCAACACCUUGAGCUGAGAUAAUAUAUUCCAAAUACUGAAUCCGAGUCUGUCCAAAAGAGCACUUUGACAUUUUGGCAAAGAAAUGAGUCUGACGCAAUGUUUCCAACACUAUACGCGGGUGCUGUAAAUGUUCAGGCCACAAGGCACUGUAAACCAAGAUGUCGUCGAGGAAGAUGAUGACAAACUUGCACAGAUAAGGGACCAAAUGGCAUUACUCAAAAGUGAAAAUGACCAUGAUGAGUUUUAAACGGCGUUUUCUCCUCGUCUUCAGGCUCAUACGUAUCUGAUGGUAACCAGCAUGUAAAUCCAACUUGGAGAAUUUUUCUCUGCCAGCUAGUUCGUCUAAGAGCUCAUCCACCACUGGUAAUGGAAACUUGUUCUUCACUGUGGCAGAGUUUAACCUGCGUAAUCCACACAAAACCGUCACAUGUCAUCCUUAUUUUUGACAAGUAAAACUGGUGCUGCAAAAGGACCCAUACUGUUCAUGAUGACUGCAGCAUCUCCGUUACCUGUCGCUCAAUCUCGUCUUUUUGCAACGGAGAGUAGCGGUAAGGUCUAGAAUUGGCAGGCCUAGCAUCCGGUUCCAAAGCAAUAGCAUGAUCUAGUGCUCUCCUUGUGGGCAAAGAGUUUAAUGUCAAAAACAUCUGCAAACUCAGUUAACAACUGUUGCAGAUCAGGGGAUACCCCAGGUUCAGUUAAGUAUUGUUGUUGUGUGACUGGAUCGAGAACAGCCAGAGUCCACACUUCAUUGCCUGGUAAUCCAUUUGCUGAGCUGCUCAUGAGAAAUUUCUUGCAAGGUGUCUUGUGAUUUGGUGUGCACGCCCCACAGACUAAUUUUUUGCCGUCGUAUUCGGAGGAUAUCGUCUUCAGCCCCCAACGACAAGACGUUGGAUUGAACUUCUGUCAAUUCCGAAUACAACAUCAUAAGCUCCAGCGCGGAGGCAGAGUACGGUAGUGUGGCCAACGCCGUGGCCGAGUGUGCUUCGACAACUCUUCGGCGAGCUCCGCUGUGCGGUCACCACUGCAACGCUGGUCUACUGCGACAACAUCUCCGUCGUGUACCUAUCCAGCAAUGCCAUUCACCACCACGGCACCAAGCAUGUCUAGCCGGGCAUCCACUUUGUCUGCGAGCACGUGGCUCUCGGUGAUUUUCGGGUUCUCCACGUCCCAACGCGGCAACAGUUCGCGACGUGAUGACCAAAGGGCUGCCGGCCGACGUGUUUCAUGAUUUUCGGUCUAGUCUUUGCUUCGACUGCGGGGGCGUUAAAUCCUUGUAUUCUGUACAUGAGUUUUGUAUGUAGCUAUACAGUAGGGUAGCAGUAGUGUACGUGUGUGUGCAGUUUUGUAGUCAGCACACACGACCUCCACCUCUCGAACAUGGCCUGACCACGAUCACCAUCGUGGGCUCACGCCCUCUGUUCCCCCUGUAUAAGUCUAACCUUGAUCAAUGCAAUCCGUGUGUUCGAUCUGUUAGAAAUAUAAUUGGGUUUAAGUUAGAAAUAAGGAGAUAGAGAUAGAAUUAGUUUAAACCACAUGUAACUUGUCUUGUACUUCAAGUCUCUAUCCCUUUUAUACUCCUAUAUAUACCCUACACAAGGGUCAGAUCAAUACAACACAAUAUUCAUUCAUCCUACAAUUUUCACAUGGUAUUAGAGCGGUUUGUCCAACGACGCUGAUCUAAAGACCUUCCACCACUUCCGCAGCUCGCCGCCCUCGGGAAGAUUAAUCUCCUCUCCCUGGGGCGGGGCACCCGAUCGUCAAAGAUGAGAUCGGUUCUAUAGAUUAGAUCGAUUCAUAGGUUAGAUUACACAAAUUUUGAAUUUCCAGUAGAUUAAUUUCCUGUAGCCACCAUCAAUAAAUCCCUCAACCUUCAAAUUCGGUGAGAAAGUUAUGUAGAAAUCCUCGUCCAGAUCACUUCAGGCCGCAUGCGCGGCUUAUACGGCCGCGACUCAAGGUGGCGCAGUCUCGGCACCUACAGAGACGGCUAUGGCGAGCUUGUCAUGGAGGUGGAUGCACACACGCGCAGUGCUCCAUCAACAGAUGCGCACGCAUGCGAUUCAUGCACUUGGCCAUGUGCAUGCGCAGCCUCCCAGGACGUGGGACACGAAGCAACCAGCAGCCCGAGGACUACGCCAACAACGAUCUGCACCGCGACGGCAAACUGCAUUGAGCGAUUGAACCAUCUGCAUCAAGCCCACAAAUUACGAUUUGCAUCGACUACACUGCACGCGCACGGACGCGAUCUCCACCAGGCCGACUCGAUCGACCUCCUGCGCGCCAACAAGCCGAACUACACCAAGCCGAACACAUCUACACCGAGCCGGCUUGCUGCAAUUGCAUCGACAUCUACACCACCGAUCGACACCUCUGCAUCGACCCUGUGCCACUUCAUCGACCUGUACGACUAGCCCGUCCGCGAGCCAACAUACUUCAUCGACCACACCUACGAGAAGCGACCUCAAUAUGCACUGUUCACACGCCAGGCUGGUGUGAAACGAGAUGCAAUUCUUCAUCGACUUCUUCAGCACGACACAACAUCAACACCCCGUCGCCACGAGGGACACCUCCAAGCGACGCAUCAUUGUCGGCAUGUCGCUGCACCACCGACACUUCAUCGCCAAAGUCUUCAUCAACAUGGUCUUCACCAACAUCAUCGUCCACACACCGCCACUGCCUCGUCCACAGGAUGGACAAUUAGCGUCCUCUGACAGAUUUUUUCUGCAAGACGCGACCACGACGACGGCAUCGACCGCGUCAUCCACGACAACAUGGCUGCAUCGACACGGCGUCACUACAGUGACGACCCUACACGGCCACACGGUUCUGGCAAAACCGAUGUGUGCUCGAUGGGCUUCCUCCGGUCUUGGCAAAACCGGCGGACUCAUCGCCGACGGCACCCUCUGACAUCUGCAAGGUGUAUCGUCCACGUCUGCAGCCCCGUCAUAGCGCAUUUUUUUUGCGCCUCCGGCUUUGUGCAGCUUCAUCAUCCACGACGACCACACCAUCGACCACGGCUACAUCACCCUGACCGGCUACCUCGACAUCGACCACACGGCUACGUCUAUAGCAACUCAUCGGCAACAACUCCAGUCAACAGCGUCCGCGUCGUCACUAGCGUCCACGUCACUUCCGUUGUGACUGCGGGAGGGAAUAGAGGAGAAGGCAUGAAGGCACCAGAAGGGGACGCAGUCACCACCCUAGGUGCCAACCCAUCAGAGACGCAGUUGAUGAUGGCGCAGUGGAGAAGACGACGAAAGCGCAAGACUUCAAAUCCAGUCGUACUCAUCCGCUUCACUCCCGCUACGACUGAGGGGGAAUGUUAGAAAUAUAAUUGGGUUUAAGUUAGAGAUAAGGAGAUAGAGAUAGAAUUAGUUUAAACCACAUGUAACUUGUCUUGUACUCCAAGUCUCCGUCCCUCUUGUAUUCCUAUAUAUAUACCCUACAUAAGGGUCAGAUCAAUACAACACAAUAUUCAUUCAUCCUAUAAUUUUCACACGAUCUCUUCUGCUCCCUCAAACAUUUCAUAUCUGCAAAAGCAUUGCCACAGGCUUCGGCAACCCGUGUGUGCCGCCGGGGGAAGUGGCGACGUGCACACGCAAGCCGAGCAGCGGAGUUGAAGCCUCCAGCCGGAGGCUGCCUGAUGCUGCGCGUAAUUGCUGGCCGGAGAUGGGAAGCGACGGCGGCUGACUGAUUAGGUGGACGAUGCUGCGAGUGGGCGGUGGCGCACGUCGACAUGAGGCCAGAGUUUUGGAGAAGGCAUCCUCGUGGUCGUGUCUUUCUUACCACGAACAGGUGAUCACUUAAGUACUAGGAGGAGCACUAGUUUUCAUCAUUGUCUCGAAGAAAACGUGACGGUUUAUUACGGCUGGAUAAUACUACAAG